GACGAACGCUGGCGGCGUGCUUAACACAUGCAAGUCGAACGGAAAGGCCCUGCUUUUGUGGGGUGCUCGAGUGGCGAACGGGUGAGUAACACGUGAGUAACCUGCCCUUGACUUUGGGAUAACUUCAGGAAACUGGGGCUAAUACCGGAUAGGAGCUCCUGCUGCAUGGUGGGGGUUGGAAAGUUUCGGCGGUUGGGGAUGGACUCGCGACUUAUCAGCUUGUUGGUGGGGUAGUGGCUUACCAAGGCUUUGACGGGUAGCCGGCCUGAGAGGGUUACCGGCCGGAUUGGGACUGGGAUGUAGCCCAGACUCCUACGAAGGGGAGCGGUCAGGAGUGUGGCCCAGUUGACCAGAGCCAGAUGCAGCAUCACCGCGUGCGGGAUGACGCCCAUCGAGGUGUAAACCGCUUUCGCCUGUGACGACGCGUGAGUGACGGUACUACGUAAAAGAGCCACGACUAAAUACGUG
This 468-nucleotide ribosomal RNA is filed under the name uncultured bacterium. RNAcentral's name for it is "partial 16S ribosomal RNA". It matches the Rfam family "Bacterial small subunit ribosomal RNA", at positions 28 to 507 of the family's 1533-position model. The record is from RNAcentral.